UCUCCUUUACUUUCGUCGUUGCUCCCCUUGUGGCUAAAUUUGGUUCUGGAGCGCGUGCCUCAGGUCAUGGGUGGCGAUAGUGCAUAUUAUUUUAGAGGCAGUGGUGGUGGCGACGGCAGUGGUGGUGGCGGUAGUGGUGUGUAGUGAGGAGUGGUCGUUAUCUCUGCCUCUUGGAGCAACACCACCCCACCAGCCCACCACCAACCGGUCUGCAUUCACACUCAGCUCAUGAAGGCGCGGAGUGUCUGGGCGGAAGAAGAGGCUGUGGAAAGGUUGAAGCGAAGCCUUGACAUAACAGGUGCGCCGGCAAUCGUCAGCAGGUUAUGGUGCUGAGAGAGUCCCCGCUUCACACACCACCGCCCGCUAAGAGGAACGACACGAGAUCACUACCCUUGGGAACGCCAGGUGCUGUCGAUGUGGGCUUGGUGUUCCUCUUGAAACUGUCCGCAGAUACUAUUGAAAAAUGUUUAAAAGAGUAUGGUUAUGGCGGCUGCGCUCACGUUCCCAGAUCAAACCCGCCGUGGUCGUGACAGUGUGUCUCGCCGCGUCCAUCUUCGUUUUAGACAGUUCCAUGACUGCAAGAAGCGUACCUCGUGGACAUCCCUCUUAUCCCGAGGACACCACCACCACAACCACCACCACCACCACCACCACCAGCACAGUGUCCACACCACCACCGUCACUCCAGCACUCUCACAGUGAUGCAGCCCGGGCCAUGAAUUCCCACAGUGUAAUUACCGCCUUAAAAGGUGCCUCUGAUAGACUUGAAGCUAAUAUCGAGUCUGAUAAAACGACGGGAGGAAGACUCUCCAAUGAAAGACUUUUCAUUUUCAGCGAGAAUGUUGGAAAACACGGUGAAGACAUUCAUACGCAGAUUGGAGUGAGCGGAGAAUCAAAGAUAACUGAUACAAAGAGCGUGAAGAAGAGUCCGAGUCCAUCAUUUGGCUUCGUAAAUAGGGAUUUCAAGCCUCCCCCGCCGCGACAGAGGCGUGGCGGUGGCGGACUCAUGGAUGUCAUUCAGGGAUUCAUGAAGAGCGGCUCGCUGCUCGGUCCAGGAAAUCUGUUAGGAGCCAUAGCUGCUCUUAAAAAAUUCGAGACUGUCAACCAUAAGCAAAGUAAAGAUGAAAUUCAAAACGAUUCCAAAGUACCACCAGUGGGAAUCGCACGUGAUCCGGGGCGUCAUAACAGUGGCAAUAGAGAACAAAAGCCAGGCCUGUGGGAGGGAAGUGGAAGGUUUAAAGGUCAAACAGAAAAUACAAAAGACCAAAAUGGGCAAGAUCGUUUUACAGCUGCACAAAAACCGUACCGACCAACGUCUGAUGAAAGCAGAGGAAGAGGGAAGCAGGAUGGCAUGCCCUCUCACGGUCACGGCGGAUCCCCGGUAGGAAGUGUUUUGGGAUCCCUAAUUAGUAAUCUGGCCCCGAUGCUGCUGUCUAGUGGACGCACCAAGAACGACAGGCAAAUGGAAGGAGCGAGCGCUGUGUCGCAUUCUAACAACCUUCAGGCCUUAAUGGGUGGCUUAGGCCCUCUCUUCCUGGCUGGAUUUGGGGGCCUUGGAGGAAAAAGGAGAGGCCCUGACUCGCCAUCUGACUCAAUGAAGAUGAAUUCCCUACAUACAAUCAUGAGUCAGGUUGGGUCAUCUCUCAUGGCGGAGGCAGCAUUGCACCCUAACUCAAAGGUUCCUCUACAGUCUCUUUUUGCCAACCUUGGACCACCUCUCCUCUCCUUCUUUACGCAAGGGAACGAUCAGAGCGCCGACAGAAAGGGAACGGCGAACUCCAGCCCCGUGCAGGCCAUUCUAGGAGGGCUGCUUCCACUUCUUAAUCCUGGUAUGUCGCAGCAGAGUGAGCUUUCCCAUGGCAGGGACAGAAACAGGUCACCUCAAAGCCCAAUUCAAAGCAUCGUUAAUGGAAUGGGACAGAGCAUUCUUAAAAAUCAGACUGGGCUGGGUGGACUCCUGGCCGGGAUGGCGCCUGUAUUAAUGUCAGGGGCGGCGAGGCGAGGAUCGAGGACGCUACAAGAGGUGGAAGUGGAUGCUGAGGCCGGAUCUGACUACAAUGGCGUGGCGUCAUCUGGUGGUUUCGAGAGUGAAGGCGGAAGGCAGGACGCGAGCCGUGCGGCAGUGAGGCUGCUGGUGCGGGCGGCGGCGUCAUCACUCCUGCCGGAAGAACUGCCGGUACCGGAAAUUAACUCCACGAAAAGUCUGUGGGACAUGGCUGUCAAUCUGGCGUUUGGAAAUCCACGCAACUUCCACGAGAGAAACAGCAGGUUUUGGCAGUGGGUCAAGGCGUACAUGGGCGACGAAUCACGAAGGAGCAGCAGGAUCAGCGAGGACUUCAACCCAGCGUGGGUCACCGCGGCCCUCACCGCCAACGCAGCACAGCGCGAGGCAAGCGCCCACACCCUCACCAAGCUGUAUCAACGUCUGGAGGACCCACAGCCUUUGUGUCAGCACGUCCGUUCCAUAGGAGGACUCUUCAAUUGGAGGACGGGAGUGUUAGUGAACGCGAGGGACGUGUGCAUGGACUCUGACGUGGCCCCUAGGAGCAAGGGCUGCAUGGUGUACUCCUUCGGUGUAAAGGAUGAAUGGAGCUUCGAGGAGGACAUGGAGGACAUUGGCUGUGAGGUGUGGGCGUUUGACCCAACUAUGACCACGGGCAACCACAACCACUCCUCGGCCAUUCACUUCUACAAUCUGGGUCUGGCUUCGUCCUCCUCUCCCACCACCGCCACCAAGAAGGGACAGCGAUGGUACCUGUUCCCUCUGGCCGGGGUGAUGAAGAGACUGGGCCACGCCACCUCCACCAUUGACUACCUCAAGAUGGACAUUGGUGGCAGCGAGUGGCAAGUGCUGCAUGAAACGGCCACUCACAGUCGCCACGCGCUCACAAACCUGAGACAGCUUGGAGUGGAGGUUCACUUGGAGGCCGCGCUGAGGGACCCCAGCCUCUAUACUCUGUACCUUGACGUUCUGGAGGGACUGGAAGGCCUCGGAUUUCAACUAUUCUCGUCCAACGCGACUCAGAGGCACGGAUGGACCUACCACGACCCGCUGCUGGGCCGGCGGGGCCCUCGGACAAAGCAACGAAGUGAAGAAGAGCAGUGACUGUAAUGCACUACUUAAAAAUGAGAAAGAAGUCACGGUCUGCCUGCAGUUUUGUCUUGUUACCCUAUCUCGCUUGUCUCGCCGGUUUGCUACCUGUCCACGUCACAGAAGCAGGCAUGGUGUGUGAGCCCGGGUGGUUCCCCUGCCAAUCUGAGGAAGUGUGCGUGGAGCGGAGGUUCAUCUGUGACGAUCACUUCGAUUGCGUGGACCACAGUGAUGAAUGGAACUGCA
RNAcentral lists this unclassified non-coding RNA (3337 nucleotides) under Portunus trituberculatus (swimming crab). RNAcentral describes it as "uncharacterized LOC123498916, transcript variant X5". The record is from RNAcentral. Lineage: Eukaryota; Metazoa; Arthropoda; Malacostraca; Decapoda; Portunidae.